ACAUCUAGUUAACAAACAGUGGUGCUACAAAUCACAUGACUUCAGAUCUUCGACCUCUCUCCAACAUUACUCCUUCAACCUCCACUGAUAAUGUUACUAUAGGAUCUGAAGGGGCAAAUUCUGUAUCAAGGCAAGUGCAAUAAUGGUCUUUAUCCACUGCCAACAAGAAUCCCUCCCAUUUUACCUCACUUGGCUGCUUUUCAUGGACGAAAAGUUUGUCA
This is a non-coding RNA of Prunus avium (sweet cherry), 221 nucleotides long. The record is from RefSeq and is a predicted model, not a curated record. Lineage: Eukaryota; Viridiplantae; Streptophyta; Magnoliopsida; Rosales; Rosaceae.